This 516-nucleotide ribosomal RNA is filed under the name Triticum aestivum (bread wheat). RNAcentral's name for it is "partial small subunit ribosomal RNA". Lineage: Eukaryota; Viridiplantae; Streptophyta; Magnoliopsida; Poales; Poaceae. The record is from RNAcentral.
AUGAUGAUAGUAAGAAGGUUGGGGGAGCUCAGCUCAGCUCUCCUCGGACCGUGCCGUGCUCGGCUCAACCACGGUUCACGGCGGGCUGAGGAACAGCGCCGGAUCGGUGUCGGCGAACACGCCGGCCACCCAGUAGGACCCCAGGUCGCAGCCCGACGGCCACUCGAACGGGCUCGGGUCCGCCAGCUCCUUCCCGCCGGCCUCGUCCGCCACGCCGAGCCCGAGCGCCACCGACGGGUGAUCGGUGAAAGCCAGGCCCCCGUUUCUGUCAGCCGCGGGUGGCACGUCGGGCUCGCCGGCCGUGAAAGCGAAGCCCCCGUCUCCGUCCGCCGCGGGUGGCGCGUCAGGCUCGCCGGCCGUGAGAGUGAAGCACCCUUCCUUCGCGGGUGGCGCGUCGGGCUCGCCGGCUGUGAAAGCGAAACACCCGUCCGCCGUAGGGGCUGCGGCGGGAUCCUCAGCUGCUGUGACGUCCUCGGUGGCCGCGGCCUCCUUCGUCGUCGCGGCGACGGCGGCUGA